UGGGAGGCGACGCAUGCCGAAAUCGUGCAGAUUGAAAACGGAACUUGGUAUUUUUCUACCACCGGGACGCCGCUAAUGAUGAUUCGUUACAUGUUGCCUGUAUCGGAUGCUUUCUCACCCGCGAAUUUCUCCCGUAAUAUACCGCGGUAUCCCUGGUUGUACGCUCGCAACUCAUCCUAUCACGAACUGCCCAAUUUAGUUCCACCAUCCGUUGAUGAGUUGAUUCAGCGACUGCGGGAGAAGGGCUUAACAGUAUACAACGGUACGGCCUUCUACAACACCGUGGGUAUACUGGAUGAUGUCUAUCUUCUGGCAAAUUCUACUUACGGCUUCUUCGAUGCGAAUCAGUGGAAGGCGGAUGUAAUGGCAAAUGUUCAACGAAGACGUGUUAUACAGAACUGUAGCGACGCGGGUUUGAAUGGGGUGGAAAUUCAUCUAGGCCAACUCGAACCGGGAAUUGUGACAUCAAGGUUGAAUGGCACCUUUUCGGAGACGGUGGCACUGUCCGCUCCUUUUAUGAUCAACGUGCAGCAGAAGACGCUUGUUUUUGAUCGGAGCUACAUAUUUAGUCCCUUUUGUCAACAAAACCGAUGGUUACUAUCUUAACGUAAGAACAACACUUCUGAAGAACACAACUGGUUUCCAUCUGGUGGACCAACCGCCGCGGAACCCGGCUUACUCGUUUCGGAUGCAUUUGAAUCGACCGUUGAGUGUUCAGCGGCUGCCGCUACUGCCGUACAGCAAGCUUUUGCCAUUGCAAACCCCGUGACAAUGGAUAAUAUCGUUCUUACCAUUUCUUUAACGGAUCGCGAUGACAGUUUACGAACGACCAUAGGGCGCGACGCUUUCAAGUUAAGUUUCGCUCUGUCGUACCCGAAAAUGAAGAGCGGAUUGUAUUGGAAAUUGUGGCGCUAUCCAUCCUACGAUGAACUAAACGGCUUGUUGCAGAGUGUUGCAGAAGUUAAACUUGUCCGCACUUGGACAGUUGCGAUCCCAGUUUCCAAUUAACAUAGUUCAGUGUCCCAUUUAUCGUUUCUGUUUGCAAAGAAACGACGACAUUUCACCGUUUGAAUUUGUUCUUAUGUUAAGUUGCAGUACUUACUAAAAGUUGUGCAAGUCUUCGUAGCGUAUUAACAUUUAUUAUGUUAUUUAUUUGAUAACGGCAAAAGUAAAGUCAAAUAAACCUUUUGCUGAGCAAGUUUUGUACUGAUUUUGCAUUAAAACUUGAUAAAG
This is a long non-coding RNA of Paramacrobiotus metropolitanus, 1233 nucleotides long. RefSeq lists it as uncharacterized. The transcript has 4 exons. Lineage: Eukaryota; Metazoa; Tardigrada; Eutardigrada; Parachela; Macrobiotidae. The record is from RefSeq and is a predicted model, not a curated record.